This 587-nucleotide ribosomal RNA is filed under the name Amphisbetia minima. RNAcentral describes it as "partial 16S ribosomal RNA". It matches the Rfam family "Bacterial large subunit ribosomal RNA", at positions 1833 to 2593 of the family's 2925-position model. The record is from RNAcentral. Lineage: Eukaryota; Metazoa; Cnidaria; Hydrozoa; Leptothecata; Sertulariidae.
CCUAGAUAUUAUCUAAGGUGUAACCUGCCCAAAGAUUUUAAAUUAAAUAAAUAAAAGUUAUGAAAUAAAAUUAAAAGGACGCGGUAACCUUGACCGUGAUAAUGUAGCAUAAUCAUUCGCCAUUUAAUUGAUGGAUAGUAUGAAUGGUUGAACGAAUAUUUCACUGUCUUAAAAAGAAAUAACAAAAAAUUGGAAUAAUAGUAAAGAUACUAUUUAAGAUUGUAAGACGAAAAGACCCUAUAGAGCUUGACUAUAAUCUCUUUAAAUUAAAAGAAAUAUUUUCAAAAACAAAGAGAUUGGUAGUUUAGUUGGGGCGACUAUCUUUUAAAACUAACAAAGAUAAGCAAAGUAAAUAAAAACACUUAUUGUAUAAUUAAUUAAUUUAACAAUUAUAAAAAUAGGCUAUAAUGACCCGUUAUAAUUUAAUAAAUAAAAAUAACGAUCAAUAAAUAAAAGCUACCUUAGGGAUAACAGGAUAAUUUUAUUUUAGAGAUCUUAUCGAAAAUAAAGUUUGUCACCUCUAUGUUGAAUUAAGAUAUCCUGACAAUGCAGAAGUUGUCAAAGGUGGGUCUGUUCGACCCUUAAAA